CCCUCUUUUCCAGAAUUUUACAAGGAAACCCACUACCAAAAAAAAGGGAAAGUAUGGGUAAACGAGAAAGCACAAGAUACCUAUGUUGCCAUAACACCAGAGGUGACUUCAAGGGUGACUUCAAGGGCUGUUUGUAGGAAGAUUAUUUGUGAGCUUGUAAACAUUUACAAGGACUACCACACAUGAAAGCUUAUGGAUAUGUAUUGCGGCCCUGAUAGAGUGACUACAAAGCAACAAAUGCAGGAGUUAGACAGAGUCGCAAAAACUCUACCAGGGAAUAUACUUCAUUUGUGAAGAGGUUCACUAAUCGUGCCGUUCUUUCACUUCAAGUUUUCUUUUUUUUCAACUUAGUUUAGUUUCUUGUAAAUCUUAUAAUGUGUCAUUCUCUGAAAUGGAAAACACUGAAUAUGGCAAACUGGAA
This is a long non-coding RNA of Asparagus officinalis (garden asparagus), 421 nucleotides long. RefSeq lists it as uncharacterized. The transcript has 2 exons. The record is from RefSeq and is a predicted model, not a curated record. NCBI's taxonomy places the organism in Eukaryota, Viridiplantae, Streptophyta, Magnoliopsida, Asparagales, Asparagaceae.